This 87-nucleotide transfer RNA is filed under the name Cellulomonas persica. RNAcentral's name for it is "tRNA-Leu(aag)". Lineage: Bacteria; Bacillati; Actinomycetota; Actinomycetes; Micrococcales; Cellulomonadaceae. The record is from RNAcentral.
CAGGCGCUCGAGGACGCGGGACUCGGGGCCGUCAAGGGCGGCACGCUCUACCCGCUGCUGGCGCGGUUCGAGACCGCGGGGCUCGUC